GAUGAAGAACGCAGCGAAAUGCGAUAAGUAAUGCGAAUUGCAGAAUUUCCGUGAGUCAUCGAAUCUUUGAACGCACAUUGCGCCCCUUGGUAUUCCAUGGGGCAUGCCUGUUCGAGCGUCAUUUGUACUCUCAAGCUCUGCUUGGUGUUGGGUGUUUGUCCUCUCCUUUUGCGUUUGGACUCGCCUUAAAACAAUUGGCAGCCAGUGUUUUGGUAUUGAAGCGCAGCACAAUUUGCGAUUUAAGCCCAUGAAUACUAGCGACCAGUAAGCAUUUUUAUAACGCUUGACCUCGGAUCAGGUAGGGAUACCCGCUGAACUUAAGCAUAUCAAUAAGCGGAGGA
Molecule: unclassified non-coding RNA, 341 nt
Filed under: soil metagenome
Description: partial contains 5.8S ribosomal RNA, internal transcribed spacer 2, and large subunit ribosomal RNA
Rfam family: 5.8S ribosomal RNA (bases 1-121)
Source: RNAcentral